GUGGAUGUGGGCGCUGUGGCCGCCACCAAGGAUGUAGGGGUCGCGCCCCAAGCUGCAAGUACGUGGUAGGGCGUCAAAACUGACGAGGACACGGGAGCCGCACUGCAGCAUGAGUGUUUUUCAUAAUUUAUUUAGUGGUGAAAUUUUCAGGCCUAUGAACUGGAUGAUAUUUUCAUUGAUGGCAAUCUUCAUCAACCUAUCUACGAGGACAUUGAUAUACUAAUUGCUGCACAAGUGUUCUCAGCACCGGCUAGCAAGAAGAGAGUAUGAUUGUUCAAUGCUCACUGUUGUAAGCUUGUUUCACGAGGAGCUUCUCAGUGUUGUACAUGUAGGGUGUGGAUAAUAUAAAUAAAAUCUAUUUGUUCA
This is a non-coding RNA of Aegilops tauschii subsp. strangulata, 366 nucleotides long. The record is from RefSeq and is a predicted model, not a curated record. NCBI's taxonomy places the organism in Eukaryota, Viridiplantae, Streptophyta, Magnoliopsida, Poales, Poaceae.